GCUCUUUCAAGUUUACAUUUGAUUAUGGUAAUUCAACCAACACUAGUAAUAUGGUGGUCCGUGGCAUUAAACUUCAACAAUUCCAUUGAAGCUCAAGUGAGAGCAGCAGUAAGAGUGGUUUGGGUGGCAAUGCUUCGAUAAAUAUUUUGUUUUAUCUUGUUUCUCUUCAGUUCAGUUGUUACCGGGUGACUGGUGUUGUGUAUUUGAUGGAAGAUCUUAACUGGAUGGCCAUUGGCAAUAACUUCAGGUAUGAUUGUAAUGUUAUUAUUGCCGAGCAAUUCAUGAUUAUUUUGUUGGUUUGGGAAUGACGAAACUGUCUGGAUAUAGGAUUUUGGAUAAUCUUAUGAGGAGGCCAAAAUAUACAUAGAUAUAAUUACAGCAUUUAUUAGGCAAAAUAAAACACAGUAUUUAUAGCAAUUAUGAUUAGAAUAUUACGACCCUUAUUCGAGUUCAGAUCCACUCCAUUUCUUUAUCCUCCUUUUAUUCCAGUCCAAUUAUUAGAUUUGUGACAUGUGGCAAAAACACAUCUAAAGACUAUUACGCAUCCUUUUCUUCU
Molecule: long non-coding RNA, 556 nt
Filed under: Trifolium pratense (red clover)
Lineage: Eukaryota; Viridiplantae; Streptophyta; Magnoliopsida; Fabales; Fabaceae
Description: long non-coding RNA (TPRA_LNC010505)
Source: RNAcentral